RNAcentral lists this ribosomal RNA (253 nucleotides) under uncultured bacterium. RNAcentral describes it as "partial 16S ribosomal RNA". It matches the Rfam family "Bacterial small subunit ribosomal RNA", at positions 524 to 776 of the family's 1533-position model. The record is from RNAcentral.
UACAUAGGGGGCAAGCGUUGUUCGGAAUUACUGGGCGUAAAGGGCGCGUAGGCGGCCUGUUAAGUCGAACGUGAAAUCCCCGGGCUCAACCCGGGAACUGCGUCCGAUACUGGCAGGCUUGAAUCCGGGAGAGGGAUGCGGAAUUCCAGGUGUAGCGGUGAAAUGCGUAGAUAUCUGGAGGAACACCGGUGGCGAAGGCGGCAUCCUGGACCGGCAUUGACGCUGAGGCGCGAAAGCCAGGGGAGCAAACGGG